UUUAAAUUGAGAGUUUGAUCCUGGCUCAGGAUGAACGCUGGUGGCGUGCCUAAUACAUGCAAGUCGUACGCUAGCCGCUGAAUUGAUCCUUCGGGUGAAGUGAGGCAAUGACUAGAGUGGCGAACUGGUGAGUAACACGUAAGAAACCUGCCCUUUAGUGGGGGAUAACAUUUGGAAACAGAUGCUAAUACCGCGUAACAACAAAUCACACAUGUGAUCUGUUUGAAAGGUCCUUUUGGAUCGCUAGAGGAUGGUCUUGCGGCGUAUUAGCUUGUUGGUAGGGUAGAAGCCUACCAAGGCAAUGAUGCGUAGCCGAGUUGAGAGACUGGCCGGCCACAUUGGGACUGAGACACUGCCCAAACUCCUACGGGAGGCUGCAGUAGGGAAUUUUCCGCAAUGCACGAAAGUGUGACGGAGCGACGCCGCGUGUGUGAUGAAGGCUUUCGGGUCGUAAAGCACUGUUGUAAGGGAAGAAUAACUGAAUUCAGAGAAAGUUUUCAGCUUGACGGUACCUUACCAGAAAGGG
Molecule: ribosomal RNA, 526 nt
Filed under: Oenococcus oeni
Lineage: Bacteria; Bacillati; Bacillota; Bacilli; Lactobacillales; Lactobacillaceae
Description: bacterial SSU rRNA
Rfam family: Bacterial small subunit ribosomal RNA
Source: RNAcentral